ACGCACGCUGGCGGCGUGCCUAAUACAUGCCAGUCGAGCGGACUUUCCAGAAGCUUGCUUUUUGAAAGUUAGCGGCGGACGGGUGAGUAACACGUGGGCAACCUGCCUGCAAGACGGGGAUAACUCCGGGAAACCGGGGCUAAUACCGGAUAAUAUCUUCCUUCGCAUGAAGGAAGGUUGAAAGGCGGCGCAAGCUGCCGCUUGCAGAUGGGCCCGCGGCGCAUUAGCUAGUUGGUGAGGUAACGGCUCACCAAGGCGACGAUGCGUAGCCGACCUGAGAGGGUGAUCGGCCACACUGGGACUGAGACACGGCCCAGACUCCUACGGGAGGCAGCAGUAGGGAAUCUUCCGCAAUGGACGAAAGUCUGACGGAGCAACGCCGCGUGAGCGAAGAAGGUCUUCGGAUCGUAAAGCUCUGUUGUCAGGGAAGAACAAGUACCGUUCGAACAGGGCGGUACCUUGACGGUACCUGACCAGAAAGCCACGGCUAACUACGUG
Molecule: ribosomal RNA, 498 nt
Filed under: uncultured bacterium
Lineage: Bacteria
Description: partial 16S ribosomal RNA
Rfam family: Bacterial small subunit ribosomal RNA
Source: RNAcentral